Molecule: ribosomal RNA, 481 nt
Filed under: uncultured bacterium
Lineage: Bacteria
Description: partial 16S ribosomal RNA
Rfam family: Bacterial small subunit ribosomal RNA
Source: RNAcentral
GACGAACGUUGGCGGCGUGCUUAAUACAUGCAAGUCAACUGAAGCAGUGGUAGCAAUAUCGCUGUGGAGGUGGCGCACGGGUGAGUAACACGUAGGUAAUCUGCCUUCAGGUCUGGCAUAACUCCGGGAAACCGGGGCUAAUAGCAGAUGAUGCAGCGGCUCGACAUCGAGACAGUUGUUAAAGCUAUGGCGCCUGAAGAUGAGCCUGCGUCUGAUUAGCUAGUUGGCGGGGUAACGGCCCACCAAGGCAACGAUCAGUAGCUGGUCUGAGAGGAUGAUCAGCCACACUGGAACUGAGACACGGUCCAGACUACUACGGGAGGCAGCAGUAAGGAAUAUUGCUCAAUGGGAGAAAUCCUGAAGCAGCAACGCCGCGUGAGGGACGAAGGGCUUUUGCUUGUAAACCUCUGUAGUGAGAGAAAAAAAUCCCAAUCUUUGGGACAUGAUGGUAGCUCAAAAGUAAGCCCCGGCUAACUACGUG